CAGUCGCCACGGUAAUACGAAGGGGGCUAGCGUUGUUCGGAAUCACUGGGCGUAAAGGGUGCGUAGGCGGGAUCUUAAGUCAGGGGUGAAAUCCCGAGGCUCAACCUCGGAACUGCCUUUGAUACUGGGGUCCUUGAGUCCGGAAGAGGUGAGUGGAACUGCGAGUGUAGAGGUGAAAUUCGUAGAUAUUCGCAAGAACACCGGUGGCGAAGGCGGCUCACUGGUCCGGAACUGACGCUGAGGCACGACAGCGUGGGGAGCAAACAGGAUUAGAUACCCCAGUAGUCCCUGUCUCUUAUAC
This 301-nucleotide ribosomal RNA is filed under the name uncultured bacterium. RNAcentral's name for it is "partial 16S ribosomal RNA". It matches the Rfam family "Bacterial small subunit ribosomal RNA", at positions 509 to 807 of the family's 1533-position model. The record is from RNAcentral.